RNAcentral lists this small RNA (28 nucleotides) under Bombyx mori (domestic silkworm). Its description in RNAcentral is "ovarian small RNA-38138". Lineage: Eukaryota; Metazoa; Arthropoda; Insecta; Lepidoptera; Bombycidae. The record is from RNAcentral.
UUGUCUAUGUAUGCAAUGUAUAGUGUUC